CUACGGGUUGCUGCAGUGAGGAAUAUUGCACAAUGGGGGGAACCCUGAUGCAGCAACGCCGCGUGGAGGAUGACGCAUUUCGGUGUGUAAACUCCUUUUAUAUGUCAAGAAAAUGACGGUAGCAUAUGAAUAAGCGCCGGCUAACUCCGUGCUAGCAGCCGCGGUAAUACGGAGGGCGCAAGCGUUACUCGGAAUCACUGGGCGUAAAGGACGCGUAGGCGGGUUGAAAAGUCAGGUGUGAAAGCCUACAGCUUAACUGUAGAACUGCACUUGAAACUCUCAAUCUAGAGUAUGGGAGGGGCAGAUGGAAUUAGUGGUGUAGGGGUAAAAUCCGUAGAUAUCACUAGGAAUACCUAAAGCGAAGGCGAUCUGCUGGGACAUUACUGACGCUAAGGCGUGAAAGCGUGGGGAGCAAACAGGAUUAGAUACCCCCGUAGUC
This 439-nucleotide ribosomal RNA is filed under the name uncultured bacterium. RNAcentral's name for it is "partial 16S ribosomal RNA". It matches the Rfam family "Bacterial small subunit ribosomal RNA", at positions 339 to 795 of the family's 1533-position model. The record is from RNAcentral.